UGCGCGUAAAUUGCCCGAAUCCUGACACAGGGAGGUAGUGACAAGAAAUAACAAUACAGGGCUACUUCUAGUCUUGUAAUUGGAAUGAGUACAACUUACAUCUCUUCACGAGGAUCAAUUGGAGGGCAAGUCUGGUGCCAGCAGCCGCGGUAAUUCCAGCUCCAAUAGCGUAUAUUAAAGUUGUUGCAGUUAAAAAGCUCGUAGUCGGAUUUCGGGGCGGGCCGAGCGGUCUGCCGAUGGGUAUGCACUGUUCGGCGCGUCCUUCUUUCCGGAGACUAGUUCUACUCUUAACUGAGCGGGACUGGGAGACGGAUCGUUUACUUUGAAAAAAUCAGAGUGUUUCAAGCAGGCAGCUCGCUCUUGCAUGGAUUAGCAUGGGAUAAUGAAAUAGGACUCUGGUGCUAUUUUGUUGGUUUCGAACACCGGAGUAAUGAUUAACAGGGACAGUCAGGGG
RNAcentral lists this ribosomal RNA (454 nucleotides) under Phaeocystis sp. JD-2012. Its description in RNAcentral is "SSU rRNA". It matches the Rfam family "Eukaryotic small subunit ribosomal RNA", at positions 431 to 888 of the family's 1831-position model. Lineage: Eukaryota; Haptophyta; Phaeocystales; Phaeocystaceae. The record is from RNAcentral.